AGAGUUUGAUCCUGGUACAGAACGAACGCUGUGCGGCGUGAAUUAUGCAUGCAUGUCGUGCGAGAAAGUGGUCGCUAGACCGCUAGUGAAUCGACGAACUGGUGAGUAACAGGUGGGUAAUGUGCCCUGAAGUGGGGGAUAACACCGGGAAACCGGUGCUAAUACCGCAUGUGAUCCUUGGGUUUGCGGACCUGGGGGUUAAAGCAGUAGUGCGCUUCAGGAUCGGCCCGCCCCCGAUUAGCUAGUUGGUGAGGUCAAAGCUCACCAAGGCACCGAUCGGUAGCUGGUCUGAGAGGAUGGUCAGCCACACCGGAACUGAGAUACGGUCCAGACUCCUACGGGGGGCAGCAGUCUAGAGGCUUCGGCAAUGGGGGCAACCCUGACCGAGCGACGCCGCGUGUGGGAUUGAAGGCCUUCGGGUCGUAAACCACUGUCAUUGGGAAAGAAUGCCCGGACGGCGAAUCCGGGAGGGACGGUACCCAAGAAGGAAGCCCCGGCUAACUCCGUGCCAGCAGCCGCGGUAAUACGGAGGGGGCAAGCGUUGUUCGGAUUUACUGGGCGUAAAGGGUGUGUAGGCGGCCGCGCAAGUCUGGUGUGAAAUCUCCGACGCUUAACGUGGAGAGGUCACUGGAAACUGCGUGGCUCGAGUAUGGUAGAGGCAAGCGGAAUUCCUGGUGUAGCGGUGGAAUGUGUAGAUAUCAGGAAGAACACCGGUGGCGAAGGCGGCUUGCUGGGCCAUCACUGACGCUGAGACACGAAAGCGUGGGGAGCAAACGGGAUUAGAUACCCCGGUAGUCCACGCUGUAAACGGUGCGCACUAGUUGUGGGA
Molecule: ribosomal RNA, 829 nt
Filed under: uncultured bacterium
Lineage: Bacteria
Description: bacterial SSU rRNA
Rfam family: Bacterial small subunit ribosomal RNA
Source: RNAcentral